GUGAACAUCCUUCAAGGCUCAAUGAAAUCCGCGGAGCUUUUCUCAACCCUAACCCUAGCAAUCAGAAGACUGCCGAGUCUCCGCUCCAAUGUGAAUAAAUACAACUGCGUUGCCCCAACCAAUUCCCUAGGUUUUGUUCUGCUAAUGCCGUUCCUCACUAGCUCUGAUGAAGAUUUUUCAGAUGACGAGUCUGAUCGAAAAUCCAUUCGUUUACAAUCGUGACGACAAAUCGAGGCAUUUGUCUGAGAGAAACUCCUUUUUUGUUUAUUAUUCUAUUUUUCUUCAUUUUCUCCUCAACAUUUUUAAUAUCUUCCCCCCAAUACCGAAGUAUUGUUCUGCUUUAGUUAAGCAGCACUAUUUGAAGUCAGGAAUGAUAAUUGCAAUAUUUUGUUCUGAAUAUUCAAGUGAUUGAACGAAUGAAUGAAUUCCUGCUCAUCCUCAAUUCUUGGCUUCACUCGUUAAUUUGCUGCUACACAUUGAGUCUUCUUUUUCAAUUUUUUUUCUCGUUAAAUUUUCUUCUCUCUUCCUUUUUCAAAUAUUGACUUUAGCAAAUGGAGAUACGGCGGGAAUGCUGUCCCAAGGCUGUUUAUGACCUUCGGUUGCAGCUGGGAAAAUUUGUCCACUUUUCGGACCUUAGCUGGAAACGAUGAACAACUCUGCACAAACUUUGCUGAGGUUUAAUCAACUAAUUGUGAUGUUUAUGCUUAAUUUACCCCAAAGGUAAAACUUGUUCAUGUCUCAUGGCAGAGUAAAUGGUUCAAAAUCAUACAAUCUCAUGAUCACGGCGUGCCUGGCUGUGUUUUUUCCCUAUGAAGGAAAUUUGCUGGAUUUGAUACGCUGCUCUAAAUCCAUCUAGUCUUAGUCUACUAUUUUGGUUUUUUCCAAUACAUAUGAAACAGGAAACUCUGAUAAAUGAUGGGGUAAAUAAUGUGGCAAUGAUGAGAAAAACUCUGUUAAACAAUGAGGAACCCCUUCCUGUUAUUCAUUCA
Coffea eugenioides is the source of this 989-nucleotide long non-coding RNA. RefSeq lists it as uncharacterized. Lineage: Eukaryota; Viridiplantae; Streptophyta; Magnoliopsida; Gentianales; Rubiaceae. The record is from RefSeq and is a predicted model, not a curated record. The transcript is spliced from 2 exons.